UUCUUGUCCAAGUGAAGUGAGCACCACUGCUGCAGAGAGAGAGAUCGAGAUGGCAGCGUCCAUGAUCACGUCGCCUCUGGUGGCGCCGACGAGCCUGCCGUCGCUGUCGCGGCGGGGCUCCAACUUCGCCGUCGUCUGCAGCGGCGGCAAGAAGAUCAAGGUCGACAAGCCCCUCGGUGAGAGCUAUAUACCCAGCCAGGCUUCCCGUGACAUCUUUGUUUAAUACUCCCUCAGUCCAUUCAAAUUUAACCAAAUAUGAAUGCAUUUACGUCUAAAAAAUGCUAGAUACAUCUAACAAUUUUGUCCAAAUAUGAUUGUAUUUACGUCUAAAAAAUGGUUAAAUACAUCUAAUAGAAAGUUACUUAAUAUGGGACGGAGGGAAUACUCUCUUCGAUCCUAAAUUGUUUUCAUUAUUUUAGUUCAACGGGGGAGUAUUAAUCAAUCCGAUGUGAAUUCAUUCUUGGUUUGGUUUGGUUUUAUUAAUCAUCCAAUGAGACUAAUUGUUUGUUUUUGUGCAGGGAUCGGAGGUGGCUUGACGGUGGACAUCGACGCCAACGGCAGGAAGGGCACGGUUAGAUUGAUGCUUCCCAAACACUUCCUCUCUUUUUUCUUGUUACACGUACACCUGCACAUGUACUGUGUGUGCGAGUUCACUAUACAGACAAACUAGCUAGCUAGAAACAAAUAGAUUUUGUGGAUAGUUUGCAAGUUCGCAUAUUACUACUUCAAAUAUACACGAUUUUGAACAAGCGGUCAGUGAAUUGGUCUGACCGUAAAAUCUUCUUCUCUUCAUGCAGGGAAAGGGUGUGUACCAGUUUGUUGACAAGUACGGCGCCAACGUCGACGGCUACAGGUAAACUAUAUACGUACUCCUGAGAUGUAUAUGAGCCAGAUCCGGAUUUUUUUUUUGAGAAUAAGAGCCAGAUCCGGAUGAAAGAUUAGUACGGAGUACUUAAUUUGGCCCAUCCUUAGUAAUCUUGUGGCCCAUUUGCAGCCCGAUCUACACGCCGGAGGUAUGGUCCGAAUCUGGCGACCGCUACGCCGGUGGUGAGUAAUUUCACAUUACCCUCCACAUGCCUAUAUAUAAGUAGAAUUAUGGAUUCGCUCAAAAAAAAGUAGAAUUAUGGAUUAAAAUGCAUGUGUUUAAACGUUGUUUGUUUAAGAGCAUCAUCAGCAGCUUGUGUGAAUUCGGUUGUCUAUAUCUCAAUAUAGACAAUGGUCUAAAAAGAUUCUCUUUUAAAAUGUUACAAUCCUUCAGCAGCUUGUCUAUAUGCAAGUCGUUUAUAUUCUCUUUACUAUCUUCAUACCUAGUGGGCAUUUGGACAUCGUGACUGGAUCGUCUAUAUACAAAAAUUGUGGACAGAAAUUUGGACGAUGUCUAAAUUUAGACGAGCACGUAGACAAGCUGUUGGAGCCUUACUUUGUACUUUGGUCGUCUAAAUGGCACAUAGACAACCAUAUACACAGGCUGCUGAGGAUACUCUUAGGCUCAGUUUGAAGUUGCUAAACUGUCAUGUGCUGAAUUUAUUUUUGUAACUUGUACACACAAAACUAAGAAAAAGUUUGUUAACCAAACUGAAUUAUUUUGUGAUUGCCUUAAGAGUUGGAAACUCUUGCUCGCAAGAAAACAGUACUACCUCUAAUACUAAAUUCUUGUCGUUAUUUUAGUGCAAAUUUAAACUAAACCAACGACAAAAAUUUAGGAUCGGAGGGAGUACUAUUCGGAGAUACCUAUGAAGUAGUAGCAGAGGAUGCAUGAGAGUAACAAGGGCUUCAUUAGCACCUGAUAUUUAUUUGUUUUACCGUACAUAUCUUAAAAUAGUGUACAACUUUACAAAGUGACGUACAGAAUAUAACAAGGGGUUUCCCAAAACUUAUCAUGAUUCCUUAGAACAAGAAGAUUAGCGCUAUUGGAAUAAGAUACACAGAAAAAUUAAGAUUACACCUUUGGAUUAGUAGAUCAUUUAAAAUAAAAACUCUAGUUCAAAUUCAGUGUAUCGAUCCAAACAAUUAAGUCUUACUCCCUCUGUUCCUGAAUUCCUGAUUCAAAUUUGUCCAAAUAUGGAUAUGCAUCUUUUCUUAAAAAACGUCUAUAUACAUGUAAUAUUUCGACAACAAUUUAGAAUCGGAGGGAGUACGUGGCAACUGAAAUGAGCUACCAUAAAUUAGGGUUUUUAUGAUAUCCGGGUGGACAUGCACCUUUGGAAUUAUUUGUCGAAUAUAUAUGUUGCAUUGCUAACUCGAUCUUGCAUGUCCGUGUUAUAAUUCGCAGGGACGACGGGGCUCCUGAUCUGGGCCGUCACCCUGGCCGGCCUCCUCGGCGGCGGCGCCCUCCUCGUCUACAACACCAGCGCUCUCGCCGGCUAAUUAAGAAUCAAGUCAUCUCAUUCUCAUCUAUGCAAUUGCAAACACAACACAGGGCCGGGUAUCUCUCUGCAUGUACGUAUGCCUGUAAUGUACGUAGCUACCUGCUGUGAAAUGUACGUAUGUGAUCGAUGAUGCCAAGUACUUGAUCGAAACGCAUCGCUUAAUUUUAUGUAUGUAUAACACUUGCUACUACGUACACACUUCCUACUUUGGGAUUAUCAUUGAUGCAAACAUACUUUUUUUUUGCUAGAAAACAUAUACUUUAAUUAGACUAUAAGUUUGGCC
This 2652-nucleotide long non-coding RNA is filed under the name Brachypodium distachyon (stiff brome). RNAcentral's name for it is "long non-coding RNA (BDIS_LNC003120)". The record is from RNAcentral. Lineage: Eukaryota; Viridiplantae; Streptophyta; Magnoliopsida; Poales; Poaceae.